RNAcentral lists this ribosomal RNA (360 nucleotides) under uncultured organism. RNAcentral's name for it is "bacterial SSU rRNA". It matches the Rfam family "Bacterial small subunit ribosomal RNA", at positions 45 to 433 of the family's 1533-position model. The record is from RNAcentral.
CGCCUAACACAUGCAAGUCGAACGAAGGCUUCGGCCUUAGUGGCAGACGGGUGAGUAACGCGUGGGAAUCUACCCAACAGUUCGGAAUAACUACUGGAAACGGUGGCUAAUGCCGGAUACGCCCUUCGGGGGAAAGAUUUAUUGCUGAUGGAUGAGCCCGCGUCGGAUUAGCUAGUUGGUGAGGUAAUGGCUCACCAAGGCGACGAUCCGUAGCUGGUCUGAGAGGACGACCAGCCACACUGGGACUGAGACACGGCCCAGACUCCUACGGGAGGCAGCAGUGGGGAAUAUUGGACAAUGGGGGAAACCCUGAUCCAGCGAUGCCGCGUGAGUGAAGAAGGCCUUAGGGUUGUAAAGCUC